CCCUUAGAUGUUCUGGGCCGCACGCGCGCUACAAUGAUGAAUUCAACGAGUUUAUAACCUUGGUUGAAAAGCCUGGGUAAUCUUUUGAACUUUCGUCGUGAUGGGGCUAGACCCUUGCAAUUAUUGGUCUCCAACGAGGAAUUCCUAGUAAACGCAAGCCAUCAGCUUGCAUUGAUUACGUCCCUGCCCUUUGUACACACCGCCCGUCGCACCUACCGAUUGAAUGGUCCGGUGAAAUCUUCGGAUUGAGACUUUGUUUUCUUCACGGAAAACGCUGUUUUAAAAAGUUGAUUAAACCUUACCAUUUAGAGGAAGGUGAAGUCGUAACA
RNAcentral lists this ribosomal RNA (329 nucleotides) under uncultured eukaryote. Its description in RNAcentral is "partial 18S ribosomal RNA". It matches the Rfam family "Eukaryotic small subunit ribosomal RNA", at positions 1470 to 1796 of the family's 1831-position model. The record is from RNAcentral.